RNAcentral lists this unclassified non-coding RNA (85 nucleotides) under Macacine alphaherpesvirus 1. The record is from RNAcentral. RNAcentral also lists the same sequence under 1 other name. Lineage: Duplodnaviria; Heunggongvirae; Peploviricota; Herviviricetes; Herpesvirales; Orthoherpesviridae.
CGCGCCGCGAGAGCGCCGGGGUGCGAACCUGGGGCCGACGGACGCACAACGGCCGGGGGGUUCCAACCCGCGUGCUCGCGGCGCG